Long non-coding RNA from Alosa sapidissima (American shad), 133 nucleotides. RefSeq lists it as uncharacterized. Lineage: Eukaryota; Metazoa; Chordata; Actinopteri; Clupeiformes; Clupeidae. The record is from RefSeq and is a predicted model, not a curated record. The transcript is spliced from 3 exons.
UAUAGUGUAAUAACCUGUAAUAGUGUAUAUGACCCCAUCCAUAUAAGUGCACACUAUAGUGUAAUAACCUGUAAUAAUGUAUAUGACCCCAUCCAUAUAAGUGCACACUAUAGAGUAAUAACCUGUAAUAGUG